This 434-nucleotide ribosomal RNA is filed under the name uncultured bacterium. RNAcentral describes it as "partial 16S ribosomal RNA". It matches the Rfam family "Bacterial small subunit ribosomal RNA", at positions 27 to 507 of the family's 1533-position model. The record is from RNAcentral.
GAACGAACGCUGGCGGCAUGCCUAACACAUGCAAGUCGAACGAGACCUUCGGGUCUCGUGGCGCACGGGUGCGUAACGCGUGGGAACCUGCCCUUAGGUUCGGAAUAACUCCCCGAAAGGGGUGCUAAUACCGGAUAAUGUCUUCGGACCAAAGAUUUAUCGCCUUUGGAUGGGCCCGCGUUGGAUUAGCUAGUUGGUAGGGUAAAAGCCUACCAAGGCGACGAUCCAUAGCUGGUCUGAGAGGAUGAUCAGCCACACUGGGACUGAGACACGGCCCAGACUCCUACGGGAGGCAGCAGUGGGGAAUAUUGUACAAUGGGCGAAAGCCUGAUCCAGCAAUGCCGCGUGAGUGAUGAAGGCCUUAGGGUUGUAAAGCUCUUUUACCCGGGAUGAUAAUGACAGUACCGGGAGAAUAAGCUCCGGCUAACUCCGUG